GGCACCCAGAACUGCAUUCUUUUGGCUAAAUUUAAAUAACAUUGGACUACCAUUCUCAUCUUGUUUUCAACCCAGCUGUAUGUCUGAAUCCAGACUCUUCCAGCAGGAAUUUCCCUUGGAAAUCAGCUCCCAGAUGCCUUAAGAUUAGCAAAGCUGUUCCAUGUACAGUUUGUCCCAUUCUGACCCCUCCUAAGAAGAUGGAAGGCGACCUCUCAGUGCACCCACCUUUGGAUCAGAGUUACGCAAUACUCAGUGCCACUUUUAAAAAGAGCUGGAGAAUGAUGCUAACAAUAUAUUUCAGCCCAAGAAAUGAAGAAACCCUAUGGAGAACAUUAUUGCUGAACUGAAACGGGAGAUGCUGAAGAGAAAUGCAGGAAGUGCAGAAUUUUUUCCCUUAAAAGAAUAAAAAAGCCUUUUUAGGGAGAAAACAACAGGGCUGAGAUAGACGAAUUGUGAAAUGCUCAGGAGCAUCGUAUGGGUUUAGUGAUUUGUAACAAAGAAUGCAAUAAAAAUUACAGCAAUAAAAAUGCAACAUUUUAAUAGAGAAACCCCAGGGCUCCGAUAUGGC
RNAcentral lists this long non-coding RNA (568 nucleotides) under Ficedula albicollis (Collared flycatcher). Its description in RNAcentral is "lncRNA (ENSFALG00000024214.1)". The record is from RNAcentral. Lineage: Eukaryota; Metazoa; Chordata; Aves; Passeriformes; Muscicapidae.